Molecule: ribosomal RNA, 258 nt
Filed under: uncultured bacterium
Lineage: Bacteria
Description: partial 16S ribosomal RNA
Rfam family: Bacterial small subunit ribosomal RNA
Source: RNAcentral
UACGUAGGGUGCAAGCGUUGUCCGGAAUUAUUGGGCGUAAAGAGCUCGUAGGCGGUCUGUCGCGUCGGAUGUGAAAAUCCAGGGCUCAACCCUGGACCUGCAUUCGAUACGGGCAGACUAGAGUUCGGUAGGGGAGACGUGGAAUUCCUGGUGUAGCGGUGAAAUGCGCAGAUAUCAGGAGGAACACCGGUGGCGAAGGCGGGUCUCUGGGCCGAAACUGACGCUGAGGAGCGAAAGCGUGGGGAGCAAACAGGAUUA